This 479-nucleotide ribosomal RNA is filed under the name uncultured bacterium. RNAcentral's name for it is "bacterial SSU rRNA". It matches the Rfam family "Bacterial small subunit ribosomal RNA", at positions 29 to 533 of the family's 1533-position model. The record is from RNAcentral.
AACGAACGCUGGCGGCAUGCCUAACACAUGCAAGUCGAACGAGACCUUCGGGUCUAGUGGCGCACGGGUGCGUAACACGUGGGAAUUUGCCUCGGGGUAUGGAAUAACUCAGGGAAACUUGAGCUAAUACCAUAUAAUGUCUUCGGACCAAAGAUUUAUCGCCCUGAGACAAGCCCGCGUAGGAUUAGCUAGUUGGUGGGGUAAAGGCUCACCAAGGCGACGAUCUUUAGCUGGUCUGAGAGGAUGAUCAGCCACACUGGGACUGAGACACGGCCCAGACUCCUACGGGAGGCAGCAGUGGGGAAUAUUGGACAAUGGGCGCAAGCCUGAUCCAGCCAUGCCGCGUGCAGGAUGACGGUCCUAUGGAUUGUAAACUGCUUUUAUACAGGAAGAAACACUCCGACGUGUCGGGGCUUGACGGUACUGUAAGAAUAAGGAUCGGCUAACUCCGUGCCAGCAGCCGCGGUAAAGUAGAACGU